Molecule: ribosomal RNA, 253 nt
Filed under: uncultured bacterium
Lineage: Bacteria
Description: partial 16S ribosomal RNA
Rfam family: Bacterial small subunit ribosomal RNA
Source: RNAcentral
UACGAAGGGGGCUAGCGUUGUUCGGAUUUACUGGGCGUAAAGCGCACGUAGGCGGAUCUUUAAGUCGGGGGUGAAAUCCUGGAGCUCAACUCCAGAACUGCCUUCGAUACUGGCGAUCUUGAGUCCGGAAGAGGUGAGUGGAACGCCUAGUGUAGAGGUGGAAUUCGUAGAUAUUAGGAAGAACACCAGGGGCGAAGGCGGCGCACUGGUCCGGUACUGACGCUGAGGUGCGAAAGCGUGGGGAGCAAACAGG